Long non-coding RNA from Helianthus annuus (common sunflower), 590 nucleotides. RefSeq lists it as uncharacterized. The transcript is spliced from 4 exons. The record is from RefSeq and is a predicted model, not a curated record. Lineage: Eukaryota; Viridiplantae; Streptophyta; Magnoliopsida; Asterales; Asteraceae.
AAACGUCCGAGGCGUCUGUAUUGAGGUGCGUCUCGAGGCGAGACAGGAAGAAAUCGUUUUUGAGGCGGCGCAUCGCUGGUUAAUUAUGUUGUAAAUCACAUGAAAACCCACUGGAUCAUUUUGUCUUUUUAAAUGUUUCUAGUUACAUUGUCCUAAAUAAUCCCACUUUCUCUGCAGUCGCAUACCCCAACAGUAUUGACAAAAGAGAUCACUCUUGCAGUGUCAUUCUUGAUUCAUUUGAGCUUUGGUAAAUUAGUUUCACUGGUAUAAUCAUUGUUUUUGUUCAUCACCGGUUCAUGAGAUGGAUUCCAAGAUUUUGAAGAACUAGAGGUAUGCAAGGAAGCACACGAAAUAGAGUGGGAAAUUUCUAUAGAAGAAUAUAUGUUUUCAGACUUUGACAGCUCUAGCAACUUCCUUUCAUGCGCUACAACCUUUGACAGAUUCUAUAUCUCGCUUUGUAUGGGUUAAGUUACUAAGUGACAAAUUUCCAGCCAAAACCCUGAGUAGAAAUGGUCAGAAGAGGUGGCCAUAGUUCCAACAUUUGAUGGUAGACAUGCUUAAUAGAGCCUUUCUUGAGGAAUGCUUUACUA